AAGGAACGGUGACCACAAGGCUAGGUCCAGUGUGAGUUUGGGCUUGUCUACUGAGCGAUCCUAUGACAUCUCUGUUGAUAACAGUCAGACCUGCCAGGCUUACUGGGAACUCAAGUGCCCGGCGUGUGUGAUAUAUCUGCCAUGAUCCCUUUGUAAGAGUCACUUGCAUUUCAGACAGAGAAACACGCUCAGAGCUGGGUAUCAGUUGGUGAGGCACUGGCAUUCCACAGUCAGUUGAGUUAAUCCCUUGCAGAGGUCCCGGAGAUAUUUCCACUGCUGCUGUCUUCUCUUCUAAACUGGUCAUCCGAAUAUGAUAAAUUCGAGUUUUACUGCUAAGAUUAGCUAUUCCGUCAGCCCUCGCCCUGUGAAGCGAGGUGGUUUUGAACAUGCACAUUAAAGAAGUGAAAGGAAGGCAAGUCUGGCUGUAUCAUCUAAAAUGUGAUUGCCUCCGUGGGUAAGUCAAGAGGCUUCCUUUGAACAGGAAACGUGGAUGUCUUCACAAAGCCUACAUGAAGUGCAAAGACAGAGGAAGCCUCCAGACUGUGCAGUAGAUUUCCCAGGCCUCGCCACUGAAGCUCAGCUGACCGAGGACUCAAGAUCACAGAAGACUUUUCCCAGAAUCAUUGGCUGUUCCUGUAUUCUUGGUUGGCUUGCUCCGGAGAAGCAAGCUCAGUCUCAGGUCCUCCUGGCCCAGGAGAGUGAAGUGAAGGGGGAUGCCCUGGAGGCAGAAAGGUCCUGGUAUGAGAUAACUGGGGCCAAAAGCAACAAAGGAAAUAAUUGAACAUCGACAAGGCUGUUUUCCUUAGAAGAUUCAGACUUUGGGGAGUCUAGUUCUAAGUUCCAGGACCAUGGACUGAACCCUCAUUACAGCAUUCAGAUCAAGUCUGUGGCCUGGAUCACCUGUAGGAAAGGUGCCCACAUGCCCACCUUAAACUUGUACAAACGUGAAGGCUUCACGGUGAAAGAUCCAAAAGGGCAAGCCUCUAACUUGGGAAGAGCUUUUAUUAUGUUUUCAGUGACACUCUAAAGUACAAAUUGUUUAAACCAAAUUUCUUUCAUCCGUUUUAUAG
RNAcentral lists this long non-coding RNA (1070 nucleotides) under Bos indicus x Bos taurus (hybrid cattle). RNAcentral's name for it is "lncRNA (ENSBIXG00000002963.1)". The record is from RNAcentral. Lineage: Eukaryota; Metazoa; Chordata; Mammalia; Artiodactyla; Bovidae.